UACAGAGGUCUCAAGCGUUGUUCGGAUUCAUUGGGCGUAAAGGGUGCGUAGGCGGCGCGGUAAGUCGGGUGUGAAAUCUCCCGGCUCAACUGGGAGGGUGCGCCGAAAACUGAGGUGCUCGAGUGUGGGAGAGGUAGGCGGAAUUCCUGGUGUAGCGGUGAAAUGCGUAGAUAUCAGGAGGAACACCGGCGGUGUAGACGGCUUACUGGACCAUUACUGACGCUGAGGCACGAAAGUGUGGGGAGCAAACAGG
RNAcentral lists this ribosomal RNA (253 nucleotides) under uncultured bacterium. RNAcentral describes it as "partial 16S ribosomal RNA". It matches the Rfam family "Bacterial small subunit ribosomal RNA", at positions 524 to 776 of the family's 1533-position model. The record is from RNAcentral.